AGACCGGAAGGUUUGAGGAGCAGAAAGAUUCAUUCCAUCAUUGUUACCCAAGUGAUUGUAGCUCACUAUUGACGUUGGCUUAAUACCGGCUCCAACAAGGAAAUCAACCAACACGGACUUCAUCUUGGUUUGACCACUCUUAAAGUCAUCACCACCAAUUAAAGUGUUUCUCUUUAUGGCCAAAUCAAUAAGACCUGGAACAAAAGUGUUUUGAGGGCUUCCGUUGAUGAAAGGCACAUUUUCCAUAAUACAAGCAAUAGCAUGCAAUGUAGAAGGAGAUAUUUCAGCCUCAUUUCUAUCCACAGCAGCUAAAAGGUUUUCCAUGGUGUCAUUAAGGCCAACAACCACAUUACUGUACCUUUCGGUGUUGGCAGUCCAUAGAACCACUAUCUUGUCUACCUUGUUCUUCUCCUUGAACUCCCUAAUAUCUUUAACAAUUUGUUCAACUUGUUCUUUCUUGGUUCCUUU
This 468-nucleotide unclassified non-coding RNA is filed under the name Hevea brasiliensis (rubber tree). Lineage: Eukaryota; Viridiplantae; Streptophyta; Magnoliopsida; Malpighiales; Euphorbiaceae. The record is from RNAcentral.